Non-coding RNA from Miniopterus natalensis, 440 nucleotides. The record is from RefSeq and is a predicted model, not a curated record. Lineage: Eukaryota; Metazoa; Chordata; Mammalia; Chiroptera; Miniopteridae.
UGAGGAAAACAUGGUGGACCUGACAAAAUUAGAUCGCUGUCUCCAGGCCCGACAGAGCCAUAUGGCCUAGUUCUCCAGUGCUGAGUGAAUGCUUCCUCACCUGGGCUCCAGGAUCUUCAUUCCAUGGACCCUGUAUCAUCCUGUGACCAGUUCUGUGACCUGAUUUCCAUCACUAUCGUCCAUGAAGGCAUUAUCUCUGAAUCUUCAGGAUCUUCUCUAAUUGUCUAGAUAGACUUUUCAAUUCCCCCAAAAUCAAAGGUUUCCUCCAAAUUCCCGAUUCUCUUCACCAUACUCAGAAAUCUACCAUGAAUACAACCUCCUGUAUCUGAUCAAUAAAUGAUUAGUUUACAAUCAUGUGAUUGUCUUGUGUAUGUGAGAAACCUGGGGCUGAUAGCAAGUGAGUGACCCCAUUCCUUGGCCCUGUGCCCAUAAUGGUCCUU